Calliphora vicina (urban bluebottle blowfly) is the source of this 693-nucleotide long non-coding RNA. RefSeq lists it as uncharacterized. NCBI's taxonomy places the organism in Eukaryota, Metazoa, Arthropoda, Insecta, Diptera, Calliphoridae. The record is from RefSeq and is a predicted model, not a curated record. The transcript is spliced from 3 exons.
UUACGAACAAAUUUGAGUUCAGAUUGUGAAUAAUAUUAUUAAAGGAAAAUAAUAUCAAUCUUUUGAUUUUUGUGUUUCUGAAAUUAAACAUACAAUUUGGAAUAGGAAUAUUGAAAAUAUUUCAAGAAAAUUAUUAAACAAAUUUGUGAAGAGUAAAGAUAAACAGUGAUUGGACCAGAACUGAUUCUUGGAACCAUCUUAGAGUCAUCAACGGGUAGUGCAGAACCAAUUUUUAUAAAGUGGCAGCACAACCAAUAUAUUACAAACUGGGUGACCCUAGGUUGGAAAAAGCUUUCAUUGUGCAGAAGUAAAAGCUCUGUACAAGAAGUAAAAGCUCUCUCCAAGAAUUUGUAUUUAGCAAGAGUCUGAACCCAAGAAAAUAAGUCUUAACUGUGGAGGGAACGGAAAUCCCAGUUGGAAAUUUUAGAAGAAAAGGGAGGCAAACGUAUUGUUCUCAGUGGCUGUAGGGAUUAGGUUAAAGUUAGGAAUUACUUUUAGGGGAUCUUGGAAAAUUAUAUUUUAAACCUAUUAGAUUAAGUUUUGAAACUAUUAGGGCGUUAUUUGUAAAAAGGAUCCAUCGAGAUAUUUAUAAAUUAGUUUACCGAUAACAAAAACAAACCAGAGAAAUAUUUAGGUUUUGCGAAAUAAAUCUGUCCUUCAACGAGCUCUUUUAGGGAUAGGAAUAAUAUUCGG